GGAAAAGCAGUGAACAGAUCAGUAGCUUAAGGUUGCUUCGCAGAGAGUUUUCGGUUGGUGCAAGAAAACAGGCAGGUUAGGUGAACACACAUCUGGGAGUUGGCGUGUUGAAUUCAAGUAGGCAUGCUCGGUUGAGCCCGUUAGCGCUGUAGUUAGUUUAACUACCUGAGGUAAGCGAUGUGAGUCGUUUACAAAAUUGAGGUGGAAUCACGAGAUAAUCGUCCUCUAAGCGCCAAUGGGUGCUUAGAGGCUUUUUUAAUGGUGAUUAACUAACUACUAAGGUUUAUUGUGCGAACAAUAAAUAAAUUGAGGUGGUACCACGGUAUUGAUCGUCCUCGUA
This 340-nucleotide non-coding RNA is filed under the name Loigolactobacillus bifermentans. RNAcentral describes it as "Lactobacillus bifermentans T-box sequence". The stretch from base 1 to 229 matches the Rfam family "T-box leader". Rfam says of the family: Uncharged tRNA acts as the effector for transcription antitermination of genes in the T-box leader family. T-boxes are found upstream of many aminoacyl-tRNA synthetase genes and some amino acid biosynthetic genes usually in Gram-positive bacteria. Lineage: Bacteria; Bacillati; Bacillota; Bacilli; Lactobacillales; Lactobacillaceae. The record is from RNAcentral.